GUAGGGAAUAUUGGGCAAUGGUCGGAAGACUGACCCAGCCAUGCCGCGUGCAGGAAGACGGCCCUCUGGGUUGUAAACUGCUUUUAUCUGGGAAGAAAAAGGCCAUGCGUGGCAAAUUGCCGGUACCAGAUGAAUAAGCACCGGCUAACUCCGUGCCAGCAGCCGCGGUAAUACGGAGGGUGCGAGCGUUGUCCGGAUUUAUUGGGUUUAAAGGGUGCGUAGGCGGCUGAUUAAGUCAGCGGUGAAAGACUCCGGCUUAACCGGAGCAGUGCCGUUGAUACUGGUUAGCUUGAGUGUUGGAGGGGUACAUGGAAUUGAUGGUGUAGCGGUGAAAUGCAUAGAUACCAUCAGGAACACCGAUAGCGAAGGCAUUGUACUGGCCAACAACUGACGCUGAUGCACGAAAGUGUGGGGAUCGAACAGGAUUAGAUACCCUUGUAGUCC
Molecule: ribosomal RNA, 444 nt
Filed under: uncultured bacterium
Lineage: Bacteria
Description: partial 16S ribosomal RNA
Rfam family: Bacterial small subunit ribosomal RNA
Source: RNAcentral